RNAcentral lists this ribosomal RNA (775 nucleotides) under uncultured Neocallimastigales. Its description in RNAcentral is "partial large subunit ribosomal RNA". It matches the Rfam family "Eukaryotic large subunit ribosomal RNA", at positions 23 to 616 of the family's 3401-position model. The record is from RNAcentral. Lineage: Eukaryota; Fungi; Neocallimastigomycota; Neocallimastigomycetes; Neocallimastigales.
AGAGAGAGACAUGCGCGCAUAUCAAUAAGCGGAGGAAAAGAAACUAACAAGGAUUCCCCUAGUAACGGCGAGUGAAGCGGGAAGAGCUCAAAUUUGAAAUCUUAAAGGGUUUCCCUUUACGAAUUGUAGUUUAAAGAAGUGUUUUCUGUUGAGGUUUUGGUAAAAGUUCUUUGGAAUAGGACAUCAUAGAGGGUGAGAAUCCCGUAUUUGACCUUUACUUUCAACUUUGUGAUACACUUUCAAAGAGUCGGAUUGUUUGGGAAUGCAGUCCAAAAUGGGUGGUAAAUUUCAUCUAAAGCUAAAUAUUGGCGAGAGACCGAUAGCGAACAAGUACCGUGAGGGAAAGAUGAAAAGAACUUUGAAAAGAGAGUUAAACAGUACGUGAAAUUGUCAAAAGGGAAGCGUUUGACACCAGUGUUGUUUUUCUGAAAAUCAAUUAAAGAACUGUUUAUGCUAAGCUGUUUAGACUUUAUCAGCUAUCUGUUUAGUUUUGAGCUUUUCUUUAAUGCACUUUUCAGUUAACAAGUCAACAUCAAUUUCUUUUGCUGUAAAAAAAGCUUGAGGAAGGUGGCUUGAGAUUCGUCUUAAGUGUUUAUAGCCUCUUGCCUAUGCAGUCGGAGAGAUUGAGGUCUGCAGCGUAGAUCCUUCGGGGCUAAAUGCAUUUGUGCUAAGUUAUAGCAUUUUAUAGACAACUUGUUGACUAUGAUUUGUCUUGUAGCUUACUCGCUUAUGUUAUUUUACCUACGCUUAGGAUGUUGAGCGCAUGUCUCUCUCU